GCCUGGUUGGUUCAGUCAAAAGAACAUGUGACUCUUGAUCCCAAGGUCAUGAGUUCGAGCCCCACAUUGGGUG
This 73-nucleotide transfer RNA is filed under the name Felis catus (domestic cat). It matches the Rfam family "tRNA". From Rfam's summary of the family: Transfer RNA (tRNA) molecules are approximately 80 nucleotides in length. Their secondary structure includes four short double-helical elements and three loops (D, anti-codon, and T loops). Further hydrogen bonds mediate the characteristic L-shaped molecular structure. tRNAs have two regions of fundamental functional importance: the anti-codon, which is responsible for specific mRNA codon recognition, and the 3' end, to which the tRNAs corresponding amino acid is attached (by aminoacyl-tRNA synthetases). tRNAs cope with the degeneracy of the genetic code in two manners: having more than one tRNA (with a specific anti-codon) for a particular amino acid; and 'wobble' base-pairing, i.e. permitting non-standard base-pairing at the 3rd anti-codon position. RNAcentral also lists the same sequence under 3 other names. Lineage: Eukaryota; Metazoa; Chordata; Mammalia; Carnivora; Felidae. The record is from Rfam by way of RNAcentral.